Molecule: long non-coding RNA, 881 nt
Filed under: Phoenix dactylifera (date palm)
Lineage: Eukaryota; Viridiplantae; Streptophyta; Magnoliopsida; Arecales; Arecaceae
Description: long non-coding RNA (PDAC_LNC016778)
Source: RNAcentral
UCCAUCUGGUGAAUGGAGAGCUUAGCACGAGAUGGAUUUCUUUUUUAGUUAUAUAUAAUAGAUAAUUGAUAAGUAAACCAAAAGAUUGAUAGAAUUUUGACCUGUAAAAGUAAAUCAGAAACUCAUUCCUUCUGGAGUACAUGCCUCUACAAGUAAAACCCCACUUGUGGGCAUGCUAGUUUAUCACAAAAUGAAAAAGAACCAGCAAUAUCGUGGAGUGGGCACCUUGCUGAAAUUUACAUGACAGAGCAUGCAAAUGGAAGGGUUUCAUGUCAUAAAACAAUGUUUGAACAGUCUCUGCAUUACUCAAUUUGCCAUCUUUUAAAAUAGCAUCACUUAAACAUCAGAACUACAAUUAUGCAUAUCGCCUUGGUGUCAGGAUGAGCAUGAACACUGAAGUAGCUCAACCCCAUCUCAAAGGAGCAUCAAAUAUGGAUUGGAAACCAUUUUGCAGACAGCACACAAAAAUACAGAGAACUCUAAGAAGAGAGAGAGUUAUCAUCAAAGGCACCAGGAUCUGCUGGAAAAGAUAUGCAUGAACACCUGAAAAUUGAUAAUUUAUCACUGAUUCAACCUCCCACUCUUCCGAGCCAGCUGAUCGAUCUGCAGGCAGCCACUUCAGUAUGUUGACGGUGAUGGGAACCCAAGCUUUCAUCUACCCACCACAAAAGAAGCUCUUAUUUUCUGUACGAGGAAGUUCCCCAGCUAGCUCAUAUUCGGCUUCUCACACCUUAAGGUCUAGAUGGACAAUGGAUGAAAAGCAGCACUCCCCAUUUUUUCCUCAAGAAUAUUUACAGUCAUUAACCCUGAGCCAGUGACCUAAAUACAAAAUGCUUUGUGAACCCAGCAAGCUCAUGAGAGAGAUGAACUCUCUCUCUCUC